Molecule: transfer RNA, 69 nt
Filed under: Ictidomys tridecemlineatus (thirteen-lined ground squirrel)
Lineage: Eukaryota; Metazoa; Chordata; Mammalia; Rodentia; Sciuridae
Description: Spermophilus tridecemlineatus (thirteen-lined ground squirrel) tRNA
Rfam family: tRNA
About the family: Transfer RNA (tRNA) molecules are approximately 80 nucleotides in length. Their secondary structure includes four short double-helical elements and three loops (D, anti-codon, and T loops).
Source: Rfam by way of RNAcentral
GGGGUUGUAACUUAGUGGUAGAGCACUCAUCUAGUAAUUGUGAGGCCCUGGGUUCAAUCCUCAGCACCA